ACGGCUCAGUAACACGUGGACAACCUACCCUCAGCACGGGGAUAAACCCGGGAAACUGGGUAUAAUACCCGAUAGUUCUGGGAUGCUGGAAUGCUUCCAGGACGAAAGCUCCGGCGACUGAGGAUGGGUCUGCGGCCUAUCAGGUAGUAGUGGGUGUAAUGUACCUACUAGCCUACGACGGGUACGGGUCGUGAGAGCGAGAGCCCGGAGAUGGAUUCUGAGACACGAAUCCAGGCCCUACGGGGUGCAGCAGGCGCGAAAACUUUACAAUGCUGGCAACAGCGAUAAGGGGACCUCGAGUGCCAGGAUACAAUCUUGGCUGUCGUGAUGCCUAAAAAGCAUUACAUAGCAAGGGCCGGGCAAGACCGGUGCCAGCCGCCGCGGUAACACCGGCGGCUCGAGUGGUAACCGCUAUUAUUGGGUCUAAAGGGUCUGUAGCCGGCCGGAUAAGUCUUUUGGGAAAUCCAGCUGCUCAACAGUUGGGCUUUCAGAAGAUACUGUUCGGCUCGAGGCCGGGAGAGGUGAGAGGUACUUCAGGGGUAGGGGUGAAAUCUUGUAAUCCUUGAAGGACCACCGGUGGCGAAGGCGUCUCACCAGAACGGUCCUGACGGCAAGGGACGAAAGCUAGGGGCACGAACCGGAUUAGAUACCCGGGUAGUCCUAGCCGUAAACGAUACUCGCUAGGUGUCAGCCACGGUGCGACCGUGGUUGGUGCCGUAGGGAAGCCGUGAAGCGAGCCACCUGGGAAGUACGGCCGCAAGGCUGAAACUUAAAGGAAUUGGCGGGGGAGCAC
RNAcentral lists this ribosomal RNA (793 nucleotides) under uncultured archaeon. RNAcentral's name for it is "bacterial SSU rRNA". It matches the Rfam family "Archaeal small subunit ribosomal RNA", at positions 85 to 879 of the family's 1478-position model. The record is from RNAcentral.